CCAAUAGCGUAUAUUAAAGUUGUUGCAGUUAAAAAGCUCGUAGUUGAAUUUCGGGAUCAAUACGUCUGUCGUGCCUUUGGUACGUACGGGUGUAAUUGGUUUCUACCUUCUGAGGAUUCUUGAUGUCAUUAAUUUGGUGUCUUGGGGAAUCAGGACUGUUACCUUGAAAAAAUUAGAGUGUUUAAAGCAGGCAUACGCUUGAAUACAUUAGCAUGGAAUAAUGAAAUAGGACGUUCGAUUCUAUUUUGUUGGUUUCUAGGAUCGACGUAAUGAUUAAUAGGGAUAGUUGGGGGCAUUAGGAUUCAAUUGUCAGAGGUGAAAUUCUUGGAUUUAUUGAAGACUAACUACUGCGAAAGCAUUUGCCAAGGAUGUUUUCAUUAAUCAAGAACGAAAGUUAGGGGAUCGAAGACGAUCAGAUACCGUCGUAGUCUUAACCAUAAACUAUGCCGACUAGGGAUCGGAUGGUGUUAAUUUUUUAAUGACUCAUUCGGCGCCUUACG
Molecule: ribosomal RNA, 500 nt
Filed under: uncultured Glomeromycotina
Lineage: Eukaryota; Fungi; Glomeromycota
Description: partial small subunit ribosomal RNA
Rfam family: Eukaryotic small subunit ribosomal RNA
Source: RNAcentral